This 262-nucleotide ribosomal RNA is filed under the name uncultured bacterium. RNAcentral describes it as "partial 16S ribosomal RNA". It matches the Rfam family "Bacterial small subunit ribosomal RNA", at positions 793 to 1055 of the family's 1533-position model. The record is from RNAcentral.
GUCCACGCCGUAAACGAUGAGUACUAGGUGUUGCGGGUAUUGACCCCUGCAGUGCCGCAGCUAACGCAUUAAGUACUCCGCCUGGGAAGUACGGUCGCAAGACUAAACUCAAAGGAAUUGACGGGGCCCGCACAAGCGGUGGAGCAUGUGGUUUAAUUCGACGCAACGCGCAGAACCUUACCUGGGCUUGACAUCUGCGGAACCUUGUGGAAACACAGGGGUGCCUUCGGGAGCCGCAAGACAGGUGCUGCAUGGCUGUCGU